This 253-nucleotide ribosomal RNA is filed under the name uncultured bacterium. RNAcentral's name for it is "partial 16S ribosomal RNA". It matches the Rfam family "Bacterial small subunit ribosomal RNA", at positions 524 to 776 of the family's 1533-position model. The record is from RNAcentral.
UACGUAGGGUGCGAGCGUUAAUCGGAAUUACUGGGCGUAAAGCGUGCGCAGGCGGUUUUGUAAGCCAGAGGUGAAAGCCCCGGGCUUAACCUGGGAAUGGCAUUUGGGACUGCAAGGCUGGAGUGUGGCAGAGGAGACUGGAAUUCCUGGUGUAGCAGUGAAAUGCGUAGAUAUCAGGAGGAACACCUAUGGCGAAGGCAGCUCGCUGGGACGUUACUGACGCUGAGACGCGAAAGCGCGGGGAGCAAACAGG